This 229-nucleotide ribosomal RNA is filed under the name uncultured bacterium. RNAcentral's name for it is "partial 16S ribosomal RNA". It matches the Rfam family "Bacterial small subunit ribosomal RNA", at positions 118 to 347 of the family's 1533-position model. The record is from RNAcentral.
UGGGCAACCUGCCCCGGACACCGGGAUAACCCAGGGAAACCUGAGCUAAUACCGGAUACUCCGAUCGGACCGCAUGAUCUGAUCGGGAAAGCUCCGACGGUCCGGGAUGGGCCCGCGGCCUAUCAGCUUGUUGGUGGGGUAAUGGCCUACCAAGGCGUCGACGGGUAGCUGGUCUGAGAGGACGGCCAGCCACACUGGGACUGAGACACGGCCCAGACUCCUACGGGAG